UUCUCAUCGACUAAUGGUUAGGUCACUGGAACUUCACUCCAGAAAUCUCGGUUCGAAUCCGUGUGAGAAUACCA
RNAcentral lists this transfer RNA (74 nucleotides) under Salmonella phage rokbiter. Its description in RNAcentral is "tRNA-Glu". It matches the Rfam family "tRNA". Rfam says of the family: Transfer RNA (tRNA) molecules are approximately 80 nucleotides in length. Their secondary structure includes four short double-helical elements and three loops (D, anti-codon, and T loops). The record is from RNAcentral. Lineage: Duplodnaviria; Heunggongvirae; Uroviricota; Caudoviricetes; Demerecviridae.